UACAGAGGGUGCGAGCGUUAAUCGGAAUUACUGGGCGUAAAGCGCACGUAGGUGGCGACGUAAGUCGGGUGUGAAAGCCCCGGGCUCAACCUGGGAAUUGCAUUCGAGACUGAAUAGCUAGGGUACGGUAGAGGGAAGUGGAAUUUCCGGUGUAGCGGUGAAAUGCGCAGAUAUCAGGAGGAAUACCAAUGGCGAAGGCAGCUCGCUGGGACGUGACUGACGCUGAGACGCGAAAGCGUGGGGAGCAAACAGG
Molecule: ribosomal RNA, 253 nt
Filed under: uncultured bacterium
Lineage: Bacteria
Description: partial 16S ribosomal RNA
Rfam family: Bacterial small subunit ribosomal RNA
Source: RNAcentral